RNAcentral lists this transfer RNA (69 nucleotides) under Dreissena polymorpha. Its description in RNAcentral is "tRNA-Gly". The record is from RNAcentral. Lineage: Eukaryota; Metazoa; Mollusca; Bivalvia; Myida; Dreissenidae.
UGCGGUGGUCGAGUGGAAGCACUCUGGUCUACCAUUCCAGAAGUCCCCGGUUCAUUUCCUGGCCGGUAG